GUCAAAGUUGAAAUUAAACAACAAAAAGAGGGACUUAUUGCAAAACAAAUCGAAAGCGGUUAGGCAGGAAGCUUAGAAGCUUCGAGAUCAGCAGCUUGCUUAAUCAAACUCUGUUCACUAUCAUCAAGCGCCAUUUGAAUCGGCGAUGAACCAAGUCCAUCAGCGAUCGCCUGCAUAAUUUUCCUCAUCUCGUUCCCAAAUUCCUCUCGGUCGACAGUGCCGUUGUGGUCGCAAUCGAACUUCUCGAAAAUGGAAUCGUAGAGGUCGGUGAGUUCCUCCGGCGUGGCGGCGACGUCGACGCCGAAGUGAGAUUCAAUGAGAUGGAGAGAUUCGAAGGCUUUGCGGAGCUCGGAUCGUGACAAAACGCCGUCGUUAUUGAGGUCCAAAUCGGUAAAUCCCUUAUCAAUUGACUUUGUGAAAGCCGCUUCGUCGUUGACGAAAUCUCGAAUUGUUGAUCCGUCGAUAAUCACCACUCCCAUUUUUGUUUAAUUUUUUGAACUGUUUGAGAAAUUGUUUCUUAUGAUUAUGUGGUACUGAUGCAAG
RNAcentral lists this unclassified non-coding RNA (543 nucleotides) under Hevea brasiliensis (rubber tree). The record is from RNAcentral. Lineage: Eukaryota; Viridiplantae; Streptophyta; Magnoliopsida; Malpighiales; Euphorbiaceae.